UAAGAUGUAGAAUCAAAGACAUCCAUACUCAGAUUACUAUUUUGCUAUUAAUGAGAAGUUUUUUCUGACUCUAUCAUCAAAAUAAUCUGUAUUAUCUCUACCUUCAGUCUUCGGCUAACAGUAUUCAGACAGAUUUCUGCCACCUUCAACUACGGUCUUCUGUCACCAUAUAACCAUGUGUAAGCAAUCCUAUUUUUGAUCACUGCAGAUGAGUUUAUUGUCACUCAAAAAUGAAAGUCUUUUUAUGAUCCAACAGUGGUCGUUAAAAUUUGAACAGUCAUGCUAACGGUGUAGUUUGUGAAUUACAGGUUGAUGUUCAUCCUAAUAACUUAAUUCUCAUUCCCUAACUUGAAGAAAUGAUGGACAACCAAGUUUGAGAAAUGAGGUAAUAGUAAAUGGAAGAUAAAUUUAUUGGGUUCUUUAGCUGUGCAAGAGAAUCUAGUGCAGUGCAUCUUGACAUGGUCGAAAAAUCUUGACAGGAAAAAUUAAAAGAGAAGCUAUUAAAAUUGGAAAAGCAGAGUAUUGCUGUUUGAAGUAGACUGAAAUGUGCAAGGAUUUGUCAUUGAUGUAGGUAAACUAUUGAAUAUGUUCUUCACAAAAGCAAUUGUUGGAAAUUCAUUUCAAGGAUUUGUCAUUGAUGUAUGGAUCACGCAGUGAGUGGAGAAUUGGUUCUCAUAGCUGCUGCAAAUUUGGUGCAGAAUCAUAAGCACUCAGACUAACUGAAUGACUAGGCAUCAGAACAAGCUAUUCAGUAUUUUUUUUUUCUCCAAUGAAUAGAUGGAAUUAAAACGUGGGCAAUUGUGGAAAGAAAGGAACCGCCUUCUUCAUUAUUGAUUCAUAUAUCAACUAAAAUGGCAACAUUUGUAGUUGUUGGAAACCUCCAUGGCAACAGUUCUUAGGUCUUUUAAUUUUGAAUACAUGAAACAUUUUUCCCAAUAUAUGUUGUUCCUUCUAUUCCCCCCGGGAGUGUUUUAUGAUGAGAUAUUAUUGAAGUUGUACUAUUUCUAUAGUUCAGCAUGAUAGGGGGCUAUUCAGGAUCUUUUAGUCAUUCAGUUUUACUGAUAUGAUUCCAAAUCUUAAGAAUUAUUGCAUUUUGAAUAGUAAUGAUCUUCUUUUAACUAUGUUCCAUGUCUCUCCUCCCAUUUUACUUUUGUAAGUGGCUAGAAAUACCUCCAUUUUCAGUUUCAUCACUUUAUAGUAGAUGACUGCCAUUGUUUCCUUUGCUUGAUGGAAUUUUAUCUAAUAUUAGAGCUAAUUGCCUGCUUAAUCUAAAUUAAUGGUUAAUUAGUUCGGUUGUAAAGUCAGUGGUUAGAACUAUUUGCCACUUCAUGAUUGAUCAUCGAGUAGAAUUGGUGAUCCCAUUGAGGGUAUUGAGGCCUCAAGAUCACGACAAUGUAGGGCUUGAUUCAAAAAAUGAUUGUUCUAUCCCAUUAGGGCUACUUGCUAAUUCAAUUUAGCAAAUUAUUUUCAUUGACAUUUUGCUAAUUCAAAAAAUGAGGGUAUUUGCUACUUCUUAAGCAUAAAAAUUGGAACUUCCAAAUUAUUUUCACAUUAACACUCGAAAACACAUUGAACAUAAAAUGGUUAAUUUGAAUGGAGUAGACUCUUAAGAUUCUAGAGAAAAAGACUGAAGAAUACUUUUUCAUUGAAAUUGAAAUUUAGUAACAAGAAGGUAUCAGCGAUCAAUCUUGCUUUUCUAUUAGUCAAGUCAUUCACGCGCUUUGUGGACUCCACAAUGCCAAGAACUUCCAUGCAAUCUACCAAUUCUGAAUCAUUAUUGUGAAUGGUCCAAUAUAGGGGACCCAUAUAUUGAAAUUGAUGGAUGUAUGGGUAUGGCAAUGCCAAUAAAGUCCUCAAUUACCCCAUGACCCACUUGUUCAACCCAUUGUUAACAUAUGGAAAAGAGAAUUUAUUAACACAUCCACUUAAAUUCUUCACAAAUUCACUUUUUUCUUUUAAAUAGUAAAUUUUACAAAUGAAAGGGUUAAAAUACCUUCUUGGUUAAUCUCUCAGCAUCUACUAAUUCCAUUUUUUUGGUCAUGACCGUUCACUGCUGCACUGGCAUGUGCUAUCGUAGAUCAUGCCCUAAAGCUUGGAGAUGCACCUUGUAACAUUUUUUUUCCUUUUAAUUUCAGUGUAAAACAUUUGAGGAAAAUGAAGGAUAAGAGAAGGAAACUAGGAAAAGAUAGGAAAUGAGAGAAAAGAAGAAAAGGUUUAGCUUUUGAAUGGAAUUUUGAGCAAAAAUAAUUCAUUUUAAAAAACAGUCCAUAUCCUAGAUUUUUGGCCAAAAUAAUUCCCAAUUGGUUUUUUUCAACCACAUAUGCAUCUAUGUGGCCUAAUUUUUUUCCUUUUUUAAUGUGACAAAAUAAUAGUGGGUAAUUUUAGUUUUAAUUUUGUUUUAAACAAGUAAAACUGUAGACACCAACUACGGUUUUGACUUAAAGCUUCUUUUUUUUUUAAAACAAAAUUUUGUUGUUUUAGUUGAAAAUGUUUAAAUUUAUUUUUAGAUUUAUAAAAAUAUUUAUGGAAGUGUCUUCCAACCUUUUAUGCACUUGAUUUUGUGUCUCCUUUGAUAGUUCCUUUAAUAUGAUCUUCAAUUGAGGAAAGGUAUCGGAGGGAGGGAUUUCGUUUGCCACAAAAGAAAAGUUACAAACUACUUCUUUGGUGGAUGAGACUUAGGUUUAUAGUAGAGAUGCUAAUAAGGAGAAGAUUAUUGAUUGCUAAUGUUGGAUGAAGUAACUAUGAAUAAUAGAGUCUUUGUAAUUUCCAUUGUUAAUUUGUUAGCAUGGAUGUGAUUGGAAAGAACCUUUGCUUAGACCAUCUACAAUGAUGAGAGGGUGGGGAGCCAUUUUGGUGUGAGAGUUUGGGUUUGUUUGUAUGAUCAAUUUGAUGUUAUGAGAAUAACAAAAGAAAUUCUAGAAUUCAUGAUGAAGAGACCCUAUGACUUUAAAAACUUAGAAUUGUUGAAUAAUUAGGUUAUGUGAUUAAGAGUUGACAAUUUUGUUCCUAAUUUUUUUAUCAUUAGACCUUUUUAAAUUGUCUUACUCUUUAUUGAAGAUUCAAGACUUAAGGUUGUUGUACAAUUAAUUGGGAUAACAUAGGUAAUUAUAAAAAGAUCUGGAAAAGGCGAAUUGGAGUGAGUUAAAGUAUGGUGUGAAUCGUAUGUUUUAAACUAUAAAAAAUGUUUUUAAAAACAACUUUAAAGACUCCUUAGCACUUAAUCACUAAAACCCCUCGAGCGCUCAAUUGCUGCUUGGAGUGCUUAAGUGCUUGUGUAGAGAUUUUAAUCUCUACGAAUAUUUGAAUUUCCAUAUUUUGAUUGAUUUUAUGUUAAAAAAUUAAGUUUGAAUCCACUAGGUAUUUGUAUCUUAUAUAAAUUUUUUUAUAACAUUUUUAGUAAUAUAUUAUGUAAGAAAAAUAAUUUUUUAAUGAAACACAUAUUAAAUGCUAGUUUAAGAAUCAAAAGAUUCUUUAAUUCUAGAAAGUGAUUUUAAUAACUUUGUUAAUCAUACUUAUAAGUAUUAAGAAGUACUAUAAUCCCAUCAGAAUGACUCUCAAACAGGUUUUUAUAUACCAUUCCAACUAUUAAAUAUGUUUCUAUUAAUCUGGCAAAAAACCCAGAUGAAUAAUAUAUUAGAAUACAUUUUAUGAGUCUUUCCUCUUUCAAAAUCUCAAAAAUAUCUUAUUUAAUAUGAUGAGAAUAUGGGUCACUCUCUAUGUACACCCAAUGAAACAAAAAAAUAAAAAUAAAAACAAAAGAAGUAGGUCGCCUCUUUUUUAAUAUCUUCAUAUCAUACCAAAAGAGUAGGGCCAAUGUUGAAGAAAAUUUUGACUUAUAUACCAUCAAGGUUUGGAAAAAAUGGUUGGGAUAGCCGAACAACCAUCAGUAUGGAUAAGACUAAAGCAAAUUGAUUGAUUUUUUUUUUCAUGCUUGGGUUUUAAUAUUUAUAUUCUCUUUUCUACAUUAGAUCUUAUGGUAUAAUGAAUUAAUUCACUCUCGUAGUUAGAUACAAGUAUGAUAAGAGGCAUUAAAGUUAAAUUACUAAUUUUGGUUUAAACAAUCAAAAGCAUGCAUUGUAUUUUCUUUCCUUAUUUCAAUAUUAAUUGACCAUUCUUCUCAAUAUUGAACCGUGUAGAACAGUUCUUUAAAAUUGUAUAAUUUGUGGAAGUUCUUAAAGAACCCUUCUUUUUUUUUUUGUACUUUCAUUGUGAGGAAGGGUAAUAUUUUGACUGUAUAAGGGUGAACAAGUAAUUAAACCCAUCUGAUAUAAUUAAGAGCAAGUUCUGAGAGGGCAGAGGCCUUCACAUCUGUUUGGGAUUUCCUCAUUGUAUUUUACUGAGUUGUUGAUUCCUUCAUUACCAAACAUGGUUGUGGUAUGUUGCUAUACACUUGAGCCCCUACAAAAUUGAAGCAAAGCUUUGUAUAUUGCUUCAUCUCUUCUAAAGAUUAUGAAUUUGAAAAGAAGUUAAUUUUGUUAUGGGUGGCUUGAAAGGAGAGGAGAUAUUAAAAGAUGGUGAAAUGUGUUUUCAGAACCUAUUAUCAAAGAUUAUUCUUUCAACACUCCCAUCAUAGUAAAUCAUUUUUUGUGAUGCAUAAUUUGACACUAUUUAUAUUUGGACCAAAAUUUUGUUCUAAGAUGGAGGUCAAUCCAGUCAUUGUAAAUAAUUUUUUGUGAUGUAUGAUUUGAUUCACGUUUUGACACAGUUUGUAUCUGGAUCAAAAUUUUGUUCUAGAUUGAAGGUCAAUCUAGUUAUUGUAAAUCAUUUUUUGUGAUUGCAUGGUUUGUUUCAUGAUUUGGUACAUUUUGUAUCUAGAUCAAAAGCUUGUUCUAGGUUGGAGGUGGGAAAGAAAGACCACAUUUCAAAAAAGGCUCCACAUUUUAAUUAUGAUUAUUUAAUUUUAUUAAUCAUUUUUAAAAUUAAAAGAUAUGUGAAUUAUAAAUUCUAAUUCACCAUUAUUUAUAUAGAAGAAGAAAAAAAAUUAAAUCAAUAUAUUUUCUUUAUUUUCUCUUUGGCUCCAUUUUUUCUUUAUGUUUUUUUAUUUUAUAUAUGGUUUGUAAAAUCUUCAACAUUCAAACUUUAAGAUCAUGUUUGAUUGAUUGGAUAUAAUAUGAGAUAGUAUAAGAAAUGAGAUAUUAUAUUUUAUCCUAUAUUUGAUUGGUGAUGAGAUAUAAUAAAUUAUCUUUCUCCUAUCCUAUGUUCAAUCCAACAUAAGAUAUGAUAAGUGGUGAAAUAUAUUAUCAAUUUUUUCUCAUGGUAAGAUAUGAAAUAUAUCCCUAUAUCAAAAUUUUAUUUAUUUUAUCAAUUUUUUAUCUUUUUAAUAUACUCUUUAUACAAAAUAAUUUUUUUUUAUUAUAAACUAAAUUGAUGAUUAAAAAAGAAAAACUGAAAAAAAAAAACAUUUAUAAAAUAAUAUUAAUAUAUCAAAUAUAAAUUAUUUUUAUAUAUUAAAUGACAUAGUAUAAAAACAAUUUAUUUGUGAAAUUUAAAUAUUUUAAUCAUGAAUAUUGUUGAACAUUACAAAAUUUUUAUUUUUUUUAAAUAAAAAAUAUUUGAAUAUGAUAUAAUUUUUAUUUUAAAUAUUAAAAAUAAUAUAUAUUUCAUAUUAUUUUCUUACUUAUUUCAAAAAUUAAAUAUAAAUAUAAUAUAAUAUAACAUAUUAUAUAUAUAUAUAUAUAUAUAUAUAUAUAUAUAUAUAUAUAUAUAUCAUAUCAAAUGAAAUAUGAUAUCUUAGGAUAUACAUAUUAUAUCUUAUUUUAUCCUGUCAAAGGUAACCUAAGGUUUUAUUUAAAAUAUGUUUGGUUUUAAGAAAAUUUGAUGAAAAAUGUAAAAAAAAAAAACAAAAAAAAAAUGAAAGAAAAAAAAAUAAAAAUUGAAGGUAGUAAAUUAUUUUUCAUAUGCUAUUUCAAACUCAUUUUACUUAUUGUAACUUUUCAAUAAAAAAAAAUAAAUUAUUUGAAAAUACAUGAUUUUUUUUAAUGAAUUUUAAUUACAAAUUUUUUAUAUAUAUUUUUCAUAUUACAACUUAUGAGAAAAUAAUUUUCUUUUAAUAUUUUUAAAUAUUUCCUUAAUACUUACUAGGAACCAAACAUGACCUUAGUUUAUUGAAGUCAUAGAAAAAUAACAAAAGAAAAAGCAUAAAUAUACUAAUUCAAUUCAAUAAAUACUUUCUCUUUCUAUUCUCUAAUUGCAUUAAAAAAUUUAUAUGUUUUUAAACAAUCUCAUUAAAUGAGAAUUUUGAAGAAAUUUUUUUUUUAGAUCUAAAGUUUUCUUUUUCUUCUUAUUUCUUUUCCCUUUUUUUUUUCUUUUUUUUGAAAAGCAAAAAACUUUUUCUUUUCUUUUCAAAUCUAUGUUAGAUGCAAUACAAAUUUUCAGAACAAUUCCAAUCAAAUUGUCCAUAUUUUGGAUAUUUGAUAUUCCUUGUUCUUGGUGGAAUACUAAAAAAUUUUGAAAAGCAAAACUUGGUUGCCGUCCAGUUGUUUGUCACAAAUAUUAUAAGAAUUAGAAUCUUGGGGGUCUCGCUGAUGGUAGUCUCGUAGUUGUUUCCAAUUUCAAAAUCACUUGUUUUGUAGGCACAUUAUUUUCUUCACAAAUAUUAUAAGCAUUUUUUUGGCAUUUGCUUUGGACGUCAAGUUUUGACAAACUUCCUGAAAUACCCUCCUCUGUUUUCUCAUUCUACCAUACAGUAAGCAUGAGCUUGAGAAUGGACAAGGGUAAAACAGUAUUUAAAGCUGGAUGAAUUCUUCAUCCUUUUCCCUACUUCAUGUCUGUACACAAGCAGAGGCUUUUCCCACAAAAGCUUCAUUUCUCGUGCUGGUUGUAUUUCUCUGUGAGUCUUUGAUUCCUUCAUUUCGGAAGAAAAGAUGGUUGUGGUGGAGGCGUUUCUGUCUUCCUUGUUUAAGGUGGUGCUGGACAAGCUGGUGGCUACCCCUUUGUUAGAUUAUGCACGCCGGAUCAAAGUAGACCCAGCAGUGCUCCAGGAGUGGAGGAACACUUUGUUGCAUCUCCAAGCAAUGCUGCAUGAUGCUGAGCAGAGGCAGAUUCGGGAGGAAGCGGUGAAGAGGUGGGUGGACGAUCUCAAAGCUUUAGCUUACGACAUCGAAGAUGUCCUGGACGAGUUUGACAUGGAGGCUAAGCGAUGCAGUUGGGUACAAGGGCCCCAAACCAGCACCAGCAAGGUACGGAAGCUUAUCCCCUCUUUUCAUCCUAGCGGUGUGAUUUUCAAUAAGAAGAUUGGUCAAAUGAUCAAGAUAAUCACCCGGGAAUUAGAUGCGAUUGUAAAAAGAAAGUCUGAUCUCCAUCUGACAGAGAGUGUUGGAGGGGAAUCAUCAGUGACUGAACAAAGGUUGACUACUUCUUUGAUAGAUAAGGCUGAGUUUUAUGGCAGGGAUGGUGAUAAGGAGAAGAUCAUGGAAUUGUUGCUAUCUGAUGAAAUAGCUACUGCUGAUAAGGUUCAGGUGAUUCCGAUUGUUGGUAUGGGUGGGGUUGGAAAAACAACCAUCGCUCAAAUGAUCUAUAACGACGAGAGGGUUGGGGACAAUUUCGAUAUCAGAGUUUGGGUGUGUGUAUCUGAUCAGUUUGAUUUGGUAGGAAUAACGAAAGCAAUUUUGGAGUCGGUCUCUGGGCAUUCAUCUUAUAUUUCUAAUACCCUGCAAUCACUACAAGAUAGUUUGCAGGAAAAGUUGAAUGGAAAAAGGUUUUUCCUUGUUUUGGAUGAUAUAUGGAAUGAGGACCCCAAUAGCUGGAGUACCUUACAAGCUCCUUUUAGAAAUGGAGCACAAGGCAGUGUGGUAAUGGUAACAACUCGUCUUGAAGAUGUUGCAUCUAUCAUGCGCACCACCUCUUCCCAUCAUCUUAGUAAACUCUCUGAUGAAGAUUGUUGGUCACUAUUUGCACGCAUUGCCUUCGAAAACAUAACUCCAGAUGCCCGCCAAAACUUGGAACCUAUUGGUAGGAAAAUAAUAAAGAAAUGUGACGGUUUGCCUUUGGCUGCAAAUACAUUGGCAGGUCUGUUGCGCUGUAAACAAGAUGAGAAGACUUGGAAGGAUAUGCUGAACAGCGAAAUAUGGGAUUUACGAACAGAACAAAGUAGAAUUCUUCCGGCUCUACACUUGAGUUACCAUUACCUCCCUACAAAAGUGAAGCAGUGCUUUGCAUAUUGUUCCAUCUUUCCAAAGGAUUAUGAAUUUCAAAAGGAGGAGUUAAUUUUGUUGUGGGUGGCGCAAGGUUUAGUGGGUAGCUUGAAAGGAGGGGAGAUGAUGGAAGAUGUUGGUGAAAUAUGUUUUCAGAACCUAUUAUCAAGGUCAUUCUUUCAACAAUCCGGUCAUAAUAAGUCGAUGUUUGUGAUGCAUGAUUUGAUUCACGAUUUGGCUCAAUUUGUAUCUGGAGAAUUUUGUUUCAGAUUGGAAAUGGGACAGCAAAAAAAUGUUUCAAAGAAUGCUCAACAUUUGUCAUACGAUCGUGAAAAAUUUGAAAUCUCCAAGAAAUUUGAUCCCCUUCAUGACAUUGAUAAAUUACGGACCUUCCUACCAUUAAGUAAGCCUGGUUAUGAAUUACAUUGCUACUUAAGUGAUAAAGUCCUACACGAUGUAUUGCCGAAAUUCAGAUGUAUGCGGGUUUUAUCCUUAGCUUGCUAUAAGGUCACUUAUUUGCCCGAUUCAUUUGGAAAUUUGAAACAUUUGCGGUAUUUGAACCUUUCCAACACUGAAAUUCGGAAGUUACCUAAAUCAAUAGGUAUGCUUUUGAAUUUGCAAUCAUUGAUUUUGUCAAAAUGUCAUUGGCUUACCGAGUUACCGGCCGAGAUUGGAAAGCUCAUCAACUUGCGUCAUUUGGAUAUUUCUAAAACAAAAAUAGAAGGGAUGCCAAUGGGAAUCAAUGGAUUAAAAGAUCUUCGAAUGUUGACUACUUUUGUUGUUGGCAAGCAUGGUGGUGCAAGACUCGGGGAGUUACGAGAUCUUGCACACCUGCAAGGAGCACUCUCCAUUUUAAACUUGCAGAAUGUGGAGAAUGCUACAGAAGUUAAUUUGAUGAAAAAGGAAGACCUUGAUGACUUAGUGUUUGCAUGGGAUCCAAAUGCGAUUGUUGGUGACUUGGAGAUUCAAACCAAAGUUCUCGAAAAGCUUCAGCCUCAUAACAAGGUGAAAAGGCUCAGCAUUGAAUGCUUCUAUGGCAUAAAAUUUCCAAAAUGGUUAGAAGAUCCUUCGUUCAUGAAUUUAGUUUUCUUACAACUUAGAGAUUGUAAAAAUUGCUUGUCUUUGCCGCCACUUGGGCAGUUACAGUCUCUCAAGGAUCUCUGUAUUGUGAAGAUGGCUGAUGUGCGAAAGGUAGGUGUAGAGUUGUAUGGGAAUAGCUAUUGUAGUUCAACUUCAAUUAAGCCAUUUGGAUCCCUAGAGAUUCUGAGGUUUGAAGAGAUGUUAGAGUGGGAGGAAUGGGUUUGUCGUGAAAUUGAAUUCCCUUGUUUGAAGGAGCUUUAUAUCAAGAAAUGUCCAAAGCUGAAAAAGGAUUUACCCAAACACCUUCCUAAAUUAACAAAACUUGAGAUUAGUGAAUGCGAGCAGCUGGUGUGUUGUCUUCCAAUGGCUCCCUCCAUUCGUGAAUUGAUGUUGGUGGAAUGUGAUGAUGUGAUGGUUAGGAGUGCGGGCAGUCUCACCUCAUUGGCUUCCUUGUAUAUAAGCAAUGUCUGUAAAAUACAUGAAUUAGGACAACUGAAUUCUCUUGUAAAGUUGUUUGUGUGUCGUUGUCCCAAGCUAAAGGAAAUUCCACCCAUUCUUCACAGCCUUACCUCUCUUAAAAACUUGAACAUCCAGCAAUGUGAGAGUCUUGCAUCUUUUCCGGAGAUGGCGCUGCCACCCAUGCUUGAAUGGCUUCGAAUUGAUUCCUGUCCCAUUCUGGAGUCCCUACCAGAGGGAAUUGAUUCAUUGAAGACACUUUUAAUCUACAAGUGUAAGAAAUUGGAGUUAGCACUCCAGGAGGAUAUGCCGCACAACCACUACGCUUCCCUUACCAACUUAACUAUAUGGAGUACUGGUGAUUCUUUCACGUCCUUUCCAUUAGCCUCCUUCACAAAGCUUGAGUAUCUUCGUAUCAUGAAUUGUGGAAAUCUGGAGUCCCUUUACAUUCCAGAUGGACUUCACCACGUGGAUCUCACAUCUCUCCAGAAAUUAAGCAUCAAUAAUUGCCCUAAUCUGGUAUCUUUUCCACGAGGAGGAUUGCCCACUCCCAAUUUAAGAAUGCUUCGGAUACGUGACUGCGAGAAGCUCAAGUCACUGCCCCAAGGGAUGCACACCCUCCUUACAUCCCUUCAAUAUUUGUGGAUAGAUGAUUGUCCAGAAAUUGAUUCAUUUCCAGAAGGGGGUUUGCCCACUAAUUUAUCUUUCCUUGACAUCGAGAAUUGCAACAAACUCUUGGCUUGUCGGAUGGAGUGGGGCUUGCAAACGCUUCCCUUUCUUAGAACGUUGGGGAUUCAAGGAUAUGAGAAAGAAAGAUUUCCCGAGGAGCGAUUUUUGCCCUCCACUCUCACCGCCCUUCUAAUUAGGGGUUUUCCAAAUCUGAAAUCCCUGGACAAUAAGGGGCUUCAGCACCUCACCUCUCUUGAAACUCUGCUGAUUCGGAAAUGCGGAAACCUCAAGUCCUUCCCAAAACAAGGGCUGCCCUCCUCCCUUUCAGGUCUUUAUAUUAAAGAGUGUCCUCUGCUGAAGAAACGGUGCCAAAGGAAUAAAGGGAAAGAAUGGCCCAACAUUUCUCACAUCCCCUGCAUAGUGUUCGAUAGACAGACGACAAAUGAGGAGGUGAUCUUAUCAUGAGGCCCUUCCAUCGAAGCUCUUGCUCUCCUCUGCAUUUAUUGGCCCAGGUACUUUAUGCUUUGUGUUUUAUUUUCAUUUACCAAUUCCCCGUGAGUCAGCAAGUUUAUAACUACUCUAGCAUCCAGACUGUGCUACCUAAUGGUGCUAAUAUUUUAAGACUUUAUUUUUUUCCUUUUAUAUAAUUCUUUUAUUUUUGAGACAUCAAGUGGGGUCCAGUAGAGAGUCUAGAUAUAAUUUGUGGGGGUAUCACUCAAAUAAAGAAUAAAGGCAAAGCACCACUUAGAUGUAGUUUGGAUAUAAUUUUAUAUUCUCUAUUUUUAUAAUUUUGCUUUUCUUUUUUCAUUUUUUUUGUUAUCAAAAUUUUUUUUUAAAAAAAAAUUAAAAAUAGUUACCAAAUGAUUUCCAAAGUCACUUUCAAAUUAUUAAUCUUGAAAAAAAAUACAACUAACUAUAUCAUUAAUUUGUUAUAUUGUUUUUUCAUUUUUAAUCAGGAAAUAUUAUAUUUGAUGUUUAUUAGCCUCUUGCUUUUACUUGGUGUGUUUCAUUAAAAUUGUUACUUUAAAAGACAACACUCUUAUGCAUAGAAGUUGUUUGUUCAAAAAACAAUUUUAAGAGAACUUCUUUUUCUGUUAAGUUUAGAUAAUUUUUACUAAAGAUAAACAACUUCAAAAGGCAACUUUAAUAUAAAUUCAUUUUUUAAUUUCAAUGUGCGUCUAAUAUGAAAUUGUGGAAAUUAUUUUUUUAAGUGACAACUUCCAACAUGACCAAAACUGUUGUAAAUUCCUUAAUAUUUUUAAUAUGGAAAGUGUUUUUUUCAAAAGUCAUCUUUAGUAUAAAUUUGUAAUUCUUUCAAUAUGGAAAGUGUUUUUUCAAACGACACUUUUAUUAUAAAUUCAGUUAUUUUUAAUAUGUGCCUAAUAUAAAAAUUGUGAAAUGUGUUUUUUUAAGGGAUAACUUCCAGCAUUGUCAAAAUUGUUGUGAAUUCUUAAUAGUUUUAAUAUGAAAAAUGUUUUUUCAAAAAACACCUUUAAUAUAAUUUUUUUUUAAAAUAAGUGACCGAUAUGAAAAUUGUGGAAGAUAUAUCUUCAAUAGACAACUUUCAAUAUGACAUAAAAUGCCGUAAAAUUUGAAAUAUUUUUUAAUUUGUUGUAUUUUAAAAUUUUAAUUUUAAAUUGAUUGUACUUUUAUCAAAAAUCCGUAUUAUGAGGUAAACACGUACAUUAAAAAAAGGGGCAUUAGAUAUGUGAGCCUGUUGAUUUUCGUGUGAUUUUGAUGGACAAUGCUUAAUAUCUUUUAAAAGAAGUUUAGGUGAUUCCACAUCAAGCUUAAGUCAUUGAAAUGGGAUAAGGCAAACCCCAUUAAGUAUGUUCUCCUUUGAGCCCAAAAAUCAAUAUACUUAUGAUUCAUAAGACGACCACAAGCCCUGAUAUACUUACUUUGAAAUCAUAUAAUUUUGUGAAAAUUGUAUCAAUAUAUAUAUAUUUACUACUUUCUUAUUGUGAAUUCUCUACAAUAAUAGUCAUUUUUUUGGAAAGUUUAGUGUCAUAUGUGAAUAUAGGUGUUAAUAAACUCAAACAACUAUUAGUUUAGUUUAGUGACUAGGUGAGAUAAUUGUCCAGAAAUUGAUUCAUUUCUAGAAGGGGGUUUGCCCACUAAUUUAUCUGAGCUUCACAUCAGGAAUGGCAACAAACUCGUGGCCAAUCGGAUGGAGUGGGGCUUGCAAACGCUUCCCUUUCUUAGAACGUUGGGGAUUGAGGGAUGUGAGAAAGAAAGAUUUCCCGAGGAGCGAUUUCUGCCCUCCACUCUCACCUCCCUUCAAAUUAGGGGUUUUCCAAAUCUGAAAUUCCUGGACAAUAAGGGGCUUCAGCACCUCACCUCUCUUGAAACUCUGGAGAUUUGGAAAUGUGGAAACCUCAAGUCCUUCCCCAAACAGGGGCUGCCCCCCUCCCUUUCUCAUCUUGAUAUUGAUGAAUGUCCUCUGCUGAGGAAACGAUGCCAAAGGGAUAAAGGGAAAGAAUGGCUCAAGAUUUCUCACAUCCCCUGCAUAACAUACGAUUAGGAAGAUGAGGUGAUUUUAUCACGAAGGCCUUCGAUCCAAGCUCUUGCUCUUCUCUGCGUUUAUUAGCCCAGGUACUUUCUGCUUUGUGUUCCAUAUUUUCAUUCCCAUAUAUAACUAUGCUUUGUUAUAUUAUUUUAUUUUUCCUGUUUAAUCAAGAAACAUUAUAUUUGGCUCUGUGAAUAUCUUGUAGGUUUAGUUUUCAAUUAAGAAUUGCAUACGAAUGUAAAAGCUCCUUCCUCUUGUGAUUUCGAAUUUCUUUUCCACUACCACAACAUAUCAUUUAAAAAAAAAUUUCCUGUUGUUGCUACAUUUUUUGUUUUAUUUAUUUAUUUAUUUAAUGCUUUUUACUUGAAAUUUCAUUUUUCAUGAGCUAAUGGUAAGUGCAAAUUUUUGGGAUGGGCUCAACAAAGAGGCCUCAAGAACAGUUCUACCCAUUGAAUUUGUUUCACCAAUGCUAUUGGAGUAGAUCUUGUUGCUCAUUUAAUAAUGUAUGUAUGGAUUAAAAUUUUCUUUCUCAAAUAGCUUAAGUUUUAGGGAAAGAAAUUAGAGAGGAAAAUGUGAAAAAAAAACUAAAUUGUUUAGUAAUGCACUUUGCAAAAAAAUGAUUUUCUUUUUCAUAUUUUCCAUGAUAAAGCAAAUGUGAGAAAAUUAUUUUCCUUAUUUUUCUUUAGUACUUUUUAGCAACCAAAUAUAGCCUAAUUUUUUUUCCUAUGAAGAAAUUUUAGGAGGUAAACACACUAAAAAAAGGGCAUUAGGCAUGAGAGUUUGUUGAUUUCCAUGUGCGACUUUGACGGAAAAAACUUAAUAUCUAUUAACGGAAGUUUAAGUCAUUCCACAUGAAGCAUAAGUCAUUGAAAUGGGAUAAAGUAAAACCUUAGUAAAUAUGUUCUCCUUUGAGCCCAAAAAUCAACUAUACCUAUGAUUCAUAAGACGACCACAAGCCCAAUAUACCUACUUUGAAAUCAUAUAAUUUUGUGAAAAUUGUACCAAUAUGUAUAUCUACAGCUUUCUUAUUGUAAACUCUCUACAGUAACAACCAUUUUUUGAGUAGUUUUGUAUUAUGUGUGAAUAUAAGUGUUAAUAAACUCAAACAACUAUUAUGUGUGAAAUCAUAUAAGUCAUUCCUUGGUUAUAGUUUGUUGGGAUAUUGGUUUUCAAAUUGCUUGUGUACACAACUAACCUUUUUCUAAUUCUACAUAUGCUCACAUAUGUAAAUAUCACAAUUCAUUGCAAAACUAUUCAUGUCAUGAAGAAUUUUGGAUGCAGGAACUAUCAUCUUAUUGAUGGAGGAAGGUUGUCCACCAGAAUUGUCAGUUUACUUGAUUCACUACUUGGUUUUUGCAAGCACAUCAAAAUGUAGGGAACAAAUGGAAAAAUCUACGUGGUAAAGCCCAUGCAGACAAAUCAUUUCUUCCCAGACAUUACAAUUUAGAUUCUUCAGAUAUGUCAAAGGAUUCAACAAAUGUAUUCAUAUAUUCUAAUUAGGUACCAUUCUUCUUCUAUCGUUCUACUUUUUGAAGGUGUAAUUUAUUUUCUUUAGCAAUAAUUCACAUUAUGAGAUAAUUUCUACCUUGCAAAGAAUCGAUUUGACUCCCCAAUGUUAAUACAUGAUGUUUAACUAAGACAACAUCAAAUUUGAUUGAUGAUGAUGUUUGCUUUCAACAAUGCUUGAAAUUUGCUAGGAUAGCCUAAGGUGACUCAACAUGGAGUUUAAGAUCAUAGAAAUGGGAUAAGGCAAGGCCUUGAGAAACAUAAACAAAACAUGAUGACUGAAAUUUUUUAUGGAUUUUGCAAAAUUUUUAUGAUUACCAUUUUCUUUGUUACUUUAGACUUUGUUCUCAACAAGUAUUUGUAGGUUUUAUGGUGUGACCUUUUAACAAACUUCACAUUUUUGAAACAGCUAUGCGUCUAAAGCAUCCGACUAAUAUCAUUUGUAGAGAAAGAUUGUGCACUUUUUGAUAUCUGCAUGUAUGAUGCCACAAAGGGAGCAAAAUUUUCCUACUCGAUGAAGGACAUGUGGGCAUAUCAUCCAUAAGAGAAUGUUUUGAAAAAGUUCAGAUAGAAUGGAGUGUUUUGGAAAAUGUAUUAGCAGCUGCAAGGUACCUUGCCCUCAAUUAGGUAUAUAUUCUAUUUUCUGAAAAAUUCUAUACUUUGCCUUGUAGUAAGAAUUCACAUACAAUGAGUUUUAAUAAGAGAUAACUAAUGUUUUUACUAGGAAUGAUGACCACACCUGAAUGUGGAUUCAAAUUCUCUGAAUCUCAUAAUGUGAGGACAACAUCUAGUUUGUUGUUGUUCUUGUCAAGAGAUUGUUUUUCACUGCUCAAGAUUUCAAUCUUAGGCAUUUCUGAUCACUGCUACCAGUCUAGAAUCCUGAAGGCAAUGUCAUUGCAUUGAUUCCAUGAUCUUGCUCCAAACAAAAGUUUAGUACUCUGCUUAAGGAUUGCCAUUGCGGCUGCUCCAUUCCUUGAAAGGUAUGUUUAUGUAAACAAAAGCACUGUCCAUUUGUUUUUUUAGACUUAAUAAUUAUGUAAAAGGCUAAACUAUUGUGUUAUAUCCAACCAAAAAUGAUGAACUGUUAGAAUCAUCAUGAAAAAAGCAGAGGAUCCUUUUGGUUACGCAUUCAACACAUAUUUUUGCUUAUAUUUUUCAAAUUUCCAAUCAUUGAGUAUAAGCUAAUGAAUCAAAGAACAAGUAAAAAAGUUCUUGUUGUUGAGAUUCUAAGUGAAUAGAAAUGGUUCAUGUGCUUGAUGAACUAAAGGAAGUUCUUGCAUCUAGGUCUGGGUUAAACCAUCAAAAAUAUAGUUGCAAAGCCUACUGUAUAUUUCACAAACUAUUUAUGGAAUAAAACAUUUUCAAUUUCACAUUAUGAUACCUGAUUAGACAACUUUGAGAAAUGAUAGGUUGCUCGGUCUUUUUUAAAGUAUGGUACAGAGGUUAAUCAAAUGCAUUUUGUUCCAUUGUUGUCUGCAUUUGAUGUUCAAGGUAUCUAUGAUAGUGUUCUCUGUUAUUAUGCAUUUUGCCAUCUCUUGUCUCANNNNNNNNNNNNNNNNNNNNNNNNNNNNNNNNNNNNNNNNNNNNNNNNNNNNNNNNNNNNNNNNNNNNNNNNNNNNNNNNNNNNNNNNNNNNNNNNNNNNAUUUCAAUAACAACACUUAGAUUGCUUUACAUUCCAAAUAUUUUAAAUCAUCCUCGCUUGUGUUACAUUUAUCAGUUUCUCUUUGAAAUUGUUUUUAAACUCUUAGUAUGAAAUUAAGAUUAAUAUAAACUCCAAAAUUGAAUAGCUCUGUUUAACUUUAAUGAAGUAUUCGACUAAGUACUGCUGGAUAAAGAAGAUUUAAUUGUUACAUCAAUUUCUUCUAUAGGUGUUAGCUGUUUAAACAUGUCUCCUACUUCAUGUUAUUCUGCUUCUACGUUGGGCAUCAUUGAAGCAUUUUAAAAAGGGUACUGUACUUGUACCUGCAUAACUGCCAUAAGAGGGAUAUUUGAAGGAGACACCAUUGGAGCAUGUCAAGGUGCAUUCUACUGAUGUCAACCAUAAAUGACAGGUCCUAAACAUUGGGAAUUUCAAUGCAAUAAAAAGGUACGAAAAUUGGAUAGCUUCUAUGCCUUUCACAAAUGCACUUUUAUACUAAAUCCUGUCUAAGAGAGGAAAUUAAAUCAAUCCCUGCCCUACAAUUUAGUUUUGAGUUUUUUGUUUUUUGAUUUUUGGAAACAUGUGGAUGCAUUUACACAUGCCUGAUCUCAGGAUGGAGAUUCUGAUCAAGAUUUUCUGGUUAGACUAUAAUGUGGAAUCAUGAGGACAUGGAAUUAAAUAGAGACAAUAAGCAAUUAAUCCACUUUCCCAUUCUUCUCUCUUCAAUAGGUCUUGGACAUGCCAUUCUGUAUAGGAAGAGCUUAAUCAGGUAUGCAGACUGAUUCUCCUCUUGGUUAUUAGAUUUAGUAGCUUGAAUUCAAGUAUUCAAACCUAUUCCUGCCAUCUUCUUAUACUCUUCUGUUUCCCUAAAUCAUUUGUAAGUAAUUUUUAUAAUAUUUUAUUUAUUGAAUCUAUGUUUGGAAAAACUUCUUAAAUGCUAAAAACAAGAUUUGAAGGUCAAAUUCAACUUUUGAUGACAUUUGAUAGAAUUAUUAAACUAGACCUUACACUUUCUCAGUAUAAUUUACCUAAAAAUACAAACAUCUUUAUUUUUCCUUUAAUAAAAGUUCAAUUAAAUCUUUUACACCCUCAUAUUUAAUAAAAGUAUUAAAAUUAUAAUCAUCAAACAUAAUAUCUACUUUUGCUGAAUGCUUUGAAUUUAAUAAUAUGGGAAUGACUAUCCUACAUCAUUUGUUUGGUUAUUGAGGAUUACAGUCUAUAAAAAUUCAGUCUACAUUGUUUUAGUGAAGUACUGUAAGUUUGUAUUAUGUGGUUACCCUUAGACCUAGAUUCCCAUUCAUGCUAUGAAGUGUUUGGAAGAGGUAUUUAUGUUGCAUAAGCACGAUCAAAAUGUCUCUUUCACUUUCACUAUCAAAAUAUCAUUUUCUUUUAGGUAUGUCUUCUACUUUCUGAAAAAAUAUUUUGUUUUGUCUUAUACUGAGAAUUCACACAAUGAAUUUCAAUCGGAGAUAACCUUAUUUGUAUCCUAUUUCAAGGAAUGUCCUCCUUAUCUAUAUCCUAUUUCUAGGAAUGUCACACCUAUAUGGUGGAUUCAAAUGAUUUGAACCGCAUAACGUGAAGACAACUUGUCUUAUGCUAUUGUUGGUGUUUUGACCACUGAAGAUUGCCAUCCUAAGAGUUUUAGUCGCUGCUAGCAGUCAAGAAUCCUUUAGAUAAAUGCAUGCAUUUACAUUUAUUCCAUGAUCUUGCUCCAAAGAAAAGUUUUUUACUAAUCUACGAAAGGAUUGUAAUUAUGAGUGCUCCAUUCUUUGGAAGGUAGCACUACUUGUCAAGAGUUGUAGCUCAUGUGAUUUGGUGUUCUGUUUAUUAAUUUACACUUCGGUUGAUAUAAUAUUUGGUUGUCACUCAUUAAUUUGGUUGACAUAAUCUAGGUAGAAAUUCUACCUAGAUUUUUUGUUUUGGCAUUUCAUUUCUAUUAUUUAGUUUUGAAGAUCAUAUGAUGUUACUAGCUUUAAUUUGCAUUGACCCGCUUUUCUAUAAAAUGCUUGAGUUUUCUUUACUACUAUUAAAUACAAGCAAUUGUGAAAAACUAUAGGUUGUCUCUUUUAAGGUAGAAGAGAUUUAUUUUGAUGUCCUACAACCUAUUUUCAUUUCUUACUUCUAUAAAUGUAAACUAUAUUAUUUCUUAAUCUUUAAUAGUACAAAUGAAACAUAAAUGUUAAUAUUAGCAAAGCAUUCUCCAUGUGUUGCACUAGAUUCAGUAGUUAUGUAAAAGGCUGAAAGAUGAUGACCUAUCCAAGAGAAAAUACUGAACUAUUAGAAUUAUCAAUAUAUCUUUGCUUAUAUUAGGCUGCUCUCUAUCUUUAAAGUAUGGUUCAGAGGUUAUGGUAUGCAUUAUGUUUCACUGGUUUCCAUUUUGAUGGUCAAGAUAAUUAGGAUAGGGCUGAAACAUUGUUUCCCAUUAUUAUGCAUUUUGGUAAUCUCUUCUCUCAACAAAAUUACUUCUUUCAUUUCAACAAUACUGCUUAGAUUCUUUAUCAAUUUCACUUUUACUUUGAAUAGUUUUUUUUCCUGUUAGUUUGUCUGUUUUCCUCCAAAUUGGUUUUAGAGUGUUAGCAUGAAAUUAAAGAGUAACAUAAACUCCAAUUGAACAAAUUUGUUUACCUUCAAUGAAGCAUUCAACUAUUUACUGGUGGAUAAAAAAUAUUUAACUGUUUUAUCAGUUUCUUAUUCAUUUGGCACCAUUGUAGCAUUUGAAAAAGGUACUUGAACCAAAGUAGCAGCCAUUGCAAAGACAUUUGAUGGAGGCUUCAUUGGAGCAUGUCAGGAUGGUUAAUGAGCCUUUCUCAAGUCAACAUUAAUUGGUAGGUUCUAAACUUUGGAAUUUCAACACAAUAAAAAGGUACGCAAAUUAGAUAGUUUUGUGCCUACAGCAGAUGCACUUUCACACUAGCACCUUAGUUUUAGAGUUUUUGUCAAAUUUGUGGAUGUAUUUACAAUUGCUUGCUCCUAGGAUGUUGACCAACAAGAUUGCUUGUGGGAAGAUGACGUGGAAUCACAAAUAAGUGAAAUGAUAUGGAAGGGAUAUGCAAUUGAUACCCGUCCCUAUUCUGCUCACUUGAAUGUGACUCAAGUACAUCAUUAUGCAUGGUAAGAUGUAGAAUCAACGACAUCCAUACUCAGAUUACUAUUUUGCUAUUAAUGAGAAGUUUUUUCUGACUCUAUCAUCAAAAUAAUCUGUAUUAUCUCUACCUUCAGUCUUCGGCUAACAGUAUUCAGACAGAUUUUUGCCACCUUCAACUACGGUCUUCUGUCACCAUAUAACCAUGUGUAAGCAAUCCUCCUUUUGAUCACUGCAGAUGAGUUUAUUGUCACUCAAAAAUGAAAGUCUUUUUAUGAUCGAACAGUGGUCGUCAAAAUUUGAACAGUCAUGCUAACGGUGUAGUUUGUGAAUUAC
Molecule: long non-coding RNA, 19410 nt
Filed under: Vitis vinifera (wine grape)
Lineage: Eukaryota; Viridiplantae; Streptophyta; Magnoliopsida; Vitales; Vitaceae
Description: long non-coding RNA (VVIN_LNC007738)
Source: RNAcentral